RNAcentral lists this long non-coding RNA (433 nucleotides) under Mytilus galloprovincialis (Mediterranean mussel). Lineage: Eukaryota; Metazoa; Mollusca; Bivalvia; Mytilida; Mytilidae. The record is from RNAcentral.
GUUAACAUCAUUGUACUUUGGAAUGUAACGGAUCAAAGUUGUCUUAUUUGUGUUAAGCUGCAUCUACUCUUUUUUUUUUUUUUAAUCUGGGGUAUUUUCAUUCUUUCAUCAGCAAUCAGUUUUUUGUUGUUGCUUUUUUCGGCCUCUUAUAGACAUGAGUAAACAACGACAUUAUAUUAAAUAUAGACGGACAGUAGCUACAAAGCAACCAAAACAAUGCCUAUCAUGUUUCUUUUCAAUGUUUUUUUUCGAAAACGUUUUUUUUUCUAAGAGGGUACGAUAAGGGCUCUAUUCGUGUCUCUCGAAUUUGAAAUUCAAAGAUUAUUGUAAAUAUAAAAAAUGAUAUCGUUCAGAUGUUCAGAAAACAAUGAUUAGUCUGUAGAACAUGAGUUUUGAUAUUUUUGAAUUUUGUUUUACCAAUUGUCACAAGGGC